This 434-nucleotide ribosomal RNA is filed under the name uncultured bacterium. Its description in RNAcentral is "bacterial SSU rRNA". It matches the Rfam family "Bacterial small subunit ribosomal RNA", at positions 351 to 782 of the family's 1533-position model. The record is from RNAcentral.
GCAGUGAGGAAUAUUGGACAAUGGGUGAGAGCCUGAUCCAGCCAUCCCGCGUGAAGGACGACGGCCCUAUGGGUUGUAAACUUCUUUUGUAUAGGGAUAAACCCAGAUACGUGUAUCUGGCUGAAGGUACUAUACGAAUAAGCACCGGCUAACUCCGUGCCAGCAGCCGCGGUAAUACGGAGGGUGCAAGCGUUAUCCGGAUUUAUUGGGUUUAAAGGGUCCGUAGGCGGACUCGUAAGUCAGUGGUGAAAUCUCAUAGCUUAACUAUGAAACUGCCAUUGAUACUGCGGGUCUUGAGUAAGGUAGAGGUAGCUGGAAUAAGUAGUGUAGCGGUGAAAUGCAUAGAUAUUACUUAGAACACCAAUUGCGAAGGCAGGUUACCAUGUCUUAACUGACGCUGAUGGACGAAAGCGUGGGGAGCGAACAGGAUUAGA